Molecule: ribosomal RNA, 394 nt
Filed under: Nematoda environmental sample
Lineage: Eukaryota; Metazoa; Nematoda
Description: partial 18S rRNA
Source: RNAcentral
AUUCAAGCGAAACGCCUGUGUUAAGCACUCUGAUUUGUUCAAAGUAAAAUCGCCAGCCACCCCCCGCAGUCGGUUAAGACCGACGAGGAGAAAACCGGCAAACAAAGCCUGGGUUAGCCAGUACGCACUCGAAAGUGGACCGACUCCCUGGCACAGAUCCAACUACGAGCUUUUUAACCGCAGCAAUAAUUCUAUGCAUUUUGAGAGCUGGAAUUACCGCGGCUGCUGGCACCAGACUUGCCCUCUCAUAGAUACUCGUUAAAGGGUUUAGAUUGUACCCAUUCCGAUGACCGGCCUCGUAGAGAACGGUCUCGUUAUUUUUCGUCACUACCUCCUCAAUGUUCUGAGAGUGGGUAAUUUGCGCGCCUGCUGCCAUCCUUAGACGUAGUGGCCA